UUCAAUAGUCCAUAUUGUAACGUUCGAAAAACACAUACGGCAUUCGCUCCGAAAACCCACUGUUCUCUAUGCGUUUCGAAGGCUCAAUUAUUCUGCGUAAGCAUCGUCCGGCCGGUCUGAGACGCCGGACGCGGCCAUAACCACCGCGGUAAUAAUAUUACAGUUUUAAACUGUAGGCGAAACGUCCGAGCGCCGGCCACCGACCCUCCCCCCCCACCGCCACCUCCUGCAACGCCGCCGCGCGGCCACCUCACGGCCACCUCACGAGCAUUAAUUAGGCACGGGGAAUAAUAUUUAUAUUCUUGGACUGCCGAACGCGACGGGCCGACCGCGUUAUCCCGAAUAGCAUUACCCGAAAUAACAACGAAAUAACCUACGAUGGAUAUUUUUGGGUACGCAGGUAUUUUAAAUGCGUGUACGGUGACAACCGGUAUACGGUCGCGGGGCGCAUACGAUACAACGCGGUGUCUACGAUAUUCCCCUGAAUACCCGCUCAGAGUUUUACACCCGUUUUCAUCGGUUUCCGCUACGGUACGGUCUC
This is a non-coding RNA of Cinara cedri, 541 nucleotides long. NCBI's taxonomy places the organism in Eukaryota, Metazoa, Arthropoda, Insecta, Hemiptera, Aphididae. The record is from the annotation of a GenBank genome assembly.